GACGAACGCUGGCGGCGUGCCUAAUACAUGCAAGUCGAACGCUGAAGGAGGAGCUUGCUUCUCUGGAUGAGUUGCGAACGGGUGAGUAACGCGUAGGUAACCUGCCUUGUAGCGGGGGAUAACUAUUGGAAACGAUAGCUAAUACCGCAUAACAGUAGAUAUCGCAUGAUAUCUACUUGAAAGGUGCAAUUGCAUCACUACCAGAUGGACCUGCGUUGUAUUAGCUAGUUGGUGAGGUAACGGCUCACCAAGGCGACGAUACAUAGCCUACCUGAGAGGGUGAUUGGCCACAAUGGGACUGAGAAACGGCCCAGAAUCCUAAGGGAGGCAGCAGGAGGGAAACUUCGGCAAUGGACGGAAGGCUGACCGAGGAACGCCGCGUGAGGGAAGAAGGGUUUCGGAUCGGAAAGCUCUGUUGUAAGAGAAGAACGAGUGUGAGAGUGGAAAGUUCACACUGUGACGGUAGCUUAACAGAAAGGGACGGCUAACUACGUG
This 495-nucleotide ribosomal RNA is filed under the name uncultured bacterium. RNAcentral describes it as "partial 16S ribosomal RNA". It matches the Rfam family "Bacterial small subunit ribosomal RNA", at positions 28 to 507 of the family's 1533-position model. The record is from RNAcentral.